GGGGAGGGGCCGGGCCGGGGCUCCCCUCCGCGCUCCUGCCCCGGCUGGGGGGAGCUCGCGGCACGCGCACAGCGGCAGCCCCACUCGCGGGCCUGUUUGGGGAACCCUCCAAAGCACGCUGCAUGUUUUCUGAAACCACGCUAAUGCAGACAGAAGCAAAUAUGGAUCCUUACACUAUGCUGCUAAAUGAAGCCUUUCUAAUGAAUCCAGAAAGACAACACACUAGAAGUCCUUUAACCCUGGUAUUGGAAAAUGGAAGCUGUUUUUAUGAAGAACAGAGGCUCCAUAUUGAAGAAGAUUUCUCUUCAUCUUUUAGAAGAAAAUUAGGAAUAGAACUAGUAGGUCCUGUUUCCCAUCAAAAGCAUGAAAAACUCAUGAGCGCUUAUGCAGGCUUCGUUUUAUGGCAUAAUUAAAUAUUGUUUGAGAAUGAGGUGUUGAAGAGUAUGUGGGUUGUUUUUUAGAUGAACCAGAAUAAGGAAGCCACAAGAGUGUGAACUGGACGGCUGAGGAUAUAAACCAAACAAUUCGGGAACUUUGUAGUGAGCUGUGUAUGGAAACCAUUUUAAAUAUUGUUCAUAGAUUCAUAGAUCGUAGAGCCUGAAGGGACCACAAUGGAUCAUCGUGUCCGACCCCCUGCCCCUGGCAGGAAAGAGGACCAAGGUCAGAUGACCCCAGCCAGGUGACUAUCUAGCCUCCCCUUGAAGACCUCCAAGCUAGGUGAUAGCACCACAUCUCUUGGAAGCCCAUUCCAGAUCCUGGCCACCCUUACUGUGAAAAAUUUCUUCCUAAUAUCUAACCUAAAUCCACUCUCAACUAGUUUACACCCAUUAUUCCUAGUCACUCCCUGGGGCGCCUUAGUAAACAGCACUUCCCCUAUUCCCUGUUGACCUCCCCUAAUAAAUUUAUAGGCGGCCACAAGCUCUCCCCUCAGUCGAGACGACUCAAGUCAAGAGACUUGUGAAGGCUGAAGAGAUUCAGCUCUCUCAACCUCCCCCCGUAGGGUCUAUCACGAAGGCCACUAAUCAUGCGAGUGGCCCUCCUCUGGACCCUCUCGAGAUUCCCCGCAUCCCUCUUGAAGUGCGGUGCCCAAAACUGGACACAGUACUCCAACUGCAGCCUGACCAGUGCUGUAUAGAGCGGGAGCAUCACCUCCUUUGUUCUAUUAGUCAUGCACCUGCUAAAGCACUACAAGGUACAAUUGGCCCUGUUGAUGGCCUUGUUAUGCUGCCGGUUCAUGUUCAUCUUGGAGUCAAUUAUGACUCCAAGGUCCCUCUCUGCCUCCGAGCUGCUGAGAAGGACGCUCCCUAACCUAUAGGUGUGCGGGGGGUUCCUCCUUCCCAGGUGGAGUACCUUACAUUUAUCUUCACUAAAUUGCAUCCUAUUUCUCUCUGCCCAUUGAUCCAACCUGUCCAGGUCAGCCUGAAUCUGCUCCCUGCCCUCCGGUGUACUAACUUUGCCCCAUAACUUGGUAUCAUAAGCGAACUUGGAGAGGGUGCUCUCCACAUCCUCGUCCAAAUCGCUGAUGAAGAUAUUAAAUAAUGUUAUUGCAUUAGCUUAUAGCCUGGGUUGUUUGAAAUUAACUGAGAGGCAUUUUGCUUGGUAUAGCCAUUGUUAAUGUCUGCUAAUUUGUCUAGAGACCCAAAUUCUGCUCCAUAUGGAAUUAUCCAGGAAAAAAAUAGGCCUCUCAUACCCUAUGUUGGAACACUUAAUUGGGACAAGAGCUUAUAAAACCGUGCUCUGGAGAAAAGUUUAGCCAGGAUAUAGUAUAAAACUAGCAAAAAGCAGUACAUUUUAUACAGAAUUUGAUGGAAAUAAAGGCUGUUUUAAAAUGAAUGCUCACUGUUGUCAUAGAAUCAUAGAAGUAGGGUUGGAAGGGACCUUGUAGAUCUUCAGGUCUGACCCCCUGCCUGGGCAGGAAGAAAACUGGGCUCAAAUGACCCCAGCCAGGUAGGCAUCAAGCCGCUUCUUAAAGACCCCCAGGGUAGGAACCAGCACCACUUCCCUUGGAAGUUGGUUCCAGAUCCUAGCUGCCCUGACUGAAGUAGUUCUUAUGGAUGUCUAAUCUAAACCUACUCUCCAACAAUUUGUGGCCGUUAUUCCUUGUUAUCCCAGGGGGCGCUAAGGGAAACAAAGUCUCCCCCAAACCCUUCUGGUCCCCCCUAGUGAGUUUAUAGACGGUCACCAGGUCCCCAUAGAUGGUCACCAGGUCAUGUGCUGUUCAGUCUCUUGGGGCCCUGGGUGCAUAACACUGGCAAGGGUGUGGAUGGGUGAGGGUUCUGUUAACCUACAAAACACAACAAAACGUUGGCUGGGGCAUUGUACUCUACCUUCCCUGCACAGUGAGGGUAAACAGGGUCCCCUCAAAAGGACAUGUUGGAACAUGCCUGAGGAAAGCAGGAAAGCUAUGGAAAAUUUGGAUGGGCCAUCAUCAUCAAGUCAUCAGACCUAUUGACUACAAUAGGGUGGGAUGUUUUCACCUGAGAACAAUGAGGACCUCCCUGAGAAUAGUGCUGAACCAAUCUGAUCAAGGAAAGGUGGAACCUAGAUUGGAAGCCCCGGCACUAUUCACACACCUCUCGCUCAGAAACACUGUGAAAGAGGUUCAGGUAACUGAGACAGAUUCCCAGACGCCUAAAACUGGCCCAAGGACGAUAACAGAACCCCAGCAGCCCAUAUCAGAGCCUUUCGUGGAGAGCACAGAGCUGGUGGACAGUCCUGCUCCAAGGGACACUGUUGAGGUAGGUGCUUCCCAUACAGAGAGCUUUCAAAAUCUACACAUUGGCACCCCACUGAGAGUAAAGGUCUUUGCGUGAACUGUUUUUGCUCAUGUCCUAACAAGAGGCAUUCAAAAUAAGACUGUUGCAGCUGUUUUGUCCAAAGACAAUGGCAGUCAAGCAAGGUGUUGAACCCCUGGAGGUCCCUGAGCAGGGGUGUAUGGGGCAUUAUUUGAGAAUUUAAAAAGUAGCGCCCCCACCCCUGCUCAGAAAAGGUUUCUUGUGUGACCUGGUACAGUGUUUAUGUUUUGUUAGUGUUUGUUUUGUUUCUGAAGGGGUGGAGACUGGUAAAAUCAUAAUAAUGAAUUUGUUCACUCAGAUUACUUCUGUAAUAGAGACAGAGAUGGUAUUAGUUCUUCCCCCAAAGAGUUCGUCCCUAGGUGCCAGAGGAGAAGGCAGCUGGGUUCUGCUUAAGAAAUUUGUGAACUCCCUGACUGAUUCUAACAAAGUCCUCCACUCAUGCUCCGAAAUGGUCCUGACAGUAAAUCCUAGUCUCUUAAAAUAUUUGCCUUGUACUGUGUCUGACAAUUCAAAAAGCCAUAGGUUGUCCCUGUCAAUGGGUUCCAUUCAUUUUAAUUGCAGCAGGAGAUACAGCCAUGGAAAAAGCAGCCAUUAAGUUCAAAGGCUGCAUGUUUUCCAUCAAUUUCUGCAUAGCCAUCUAAAAAAUAGUCCCCCGCUUGAAAUUCCACACCCUGUAAAGUAUGCUGGAUUUGGAUUUUUUUUCUUUCUCGGAGGGGUACAUUAACCACUGAAUAGAUUGGGAUAAAAAAUCUCUUUGUGAUAAUUGUCUGGGGGAAGAAGUACUGUGGUCAGGGGUUUCAAAAACAUAAAUCUGUACAUGGCCAUACAAAAAGAUGCCAAUGUGAUAUAUUGGAAAGGGUCUUUGCAGAGACUUACCUAUUUGAGUUUACCCUGUUACACCACCUCUACCUGCCAUGUCAUUUUCAUAAUCUCUUUCCUGUAGAGGCAAGAGGCCUCCUUCAAAAUUUUUACAUCCAGCUGCUGUAGCAGAAAGCCCCUUUUCCUCUUGCCUGCAGUUGCUCUCCCCUUCUUGGAUAUGUUUUUCUUCUUCUACCUUUUCUUCCUUCCUCUUUCUUUCACUUUAAGAUAAGGAAUUGUGUUUUGAAAUUUGUAUGUGUGCAUUUUGUAUCUCCCCUUGUAUUUUGGUAUUUUUAUCUAUUUGUGUGCCAUGGCAUUACUUUUGUAGCUUAUAUUUUAUACUCCUCACCUUUCAACUUUCAACUAAAUGUGUUUAGUUUCAUAAGUAAGUUAAACAUUGUAACAAUGUUAACAUGGGCAGGAAUCAAACUGCCCUUCCCUGUGUCAGGCGGGCCCCUGAAAGAGCGAGUGAAUCAGUGAUUGAAUGUGUAACACGGUAGCAGACAGUAAUUAACACCUAAGGAAACUGCAGAUCAACCAACGGAAGACCUCAAUAGAAGACAAUGUAACAACCGGAAAAUCUCUAAACCUGAGUGAUCAAGGGCUAGAAGCCCUGGCCUAAGUUAAUCAACGCUGGGGACCAACUUUUGGGCUGAAUAUCUCCAGAUUGACUGCUCCCAGAGCCCUAUUCAAAAUUCAUCAACGGACUUCCAAACCUGCAUGUACAUGCGGACGACCCCUGGGGCUAACAGAUGCUAUCCAGUAGCCACUGAGGGGGAAGUCCCACAACCAAGGGUCAACAACCCCUGGAUUGAGGGGGAAGUCCCCAAUCCAAGGGUCAACAACCCCUGGAUUGGGCAAACCUGAAAAGUGGGGAGUCACCAAAGUCUGCCAAGGACAGAUAAAAAGCAGUGAAAAGUAACCCUCAGUGGCGCCCUCUUGAUCUCCAACUUGACCAGCACCUGACCUGUCCAGCCAGAAGGACCAGCCAGCGACCCCCUUCUGGAAGAUAACACCAUGCUGAAAGAAGCCUCAAUGGCAGACUCCAGUGCCUGUGGGAUAGGUAUACCUGACUCUUGUAGCUUGCUACUAUGUGUGUGCAUGUGUGGGGGGGGGGACCAGCCCCAAGGUUUAUGAUUUAACUUCAUUACAGUGCUUCAAUCCGCCUAAUAAACCAGAAUUUUAAGGAUCCUGAGUUGGACAUUUGUAGCCAACACUGCCAAUAAUAGGCCAAUUCCUUUUGCAUGUCAAAGGUCUUAUCACGGUUGUUCUGAUACCAUUCUAAAAAUUGCCCUUCUCACCAGGUGUCAUACUUUCAACCCCACAGUACUCUGCUUCCAGGAGAAGUCCCACAUAAUUCUGUUUUUCCUGUGUGUUAAAAUAAUACGGGAAAUGCCCUCUGCAUUCUUUGAGUCCCAUUGCUUGGGGGAGCUUGCUGCAUUUCAUUAACAAAAAGUUUAAAGAAUUGUGACGGGCUGGCUGGUCACAAGCCAGGGGUUUUGCAGUGACUUAGCCCAGGGGUUUUGAAAGGGCAAAAGAUGAUUGGAGGACUUGGGAUUCCCUUUCCUCACCAAUCAGGCCCCAGAGACUCACCCUCCACGUCCCCUGAUUGGCCCUGUGGGUCACCUGGAGGGGGAUAAAAGGGGCAGUGCGGCUGACUCAGGGAAGAGACCAGCGAGGAACCACAAGGAAGGAGCUUCAAGGAGCUGGCAAGAGCUGAGCUAGCGGGGCAGGAGCAGUUGCCCCAGAAGAGCCUGAAUGAGUGGGACCUGCAGGCAGCACUGGGGUCCUCAGCAGUGCGAUGUGCGGCUGGCAGGAGAGGCUCCCCACUGGGCUCCAGGAUCCCCUAUGAGAGGCUGUGGCCAGCAGGAGAGGCUCCCCAGCUCCAGCAAGAUCUGAGCAGCAACCUGAGAGGUUCCCAGUGAGGCUGGGGCUCCAGGAAAGUCAAGACCUCUAGCAGGAUAGCAUUGUACCAGCACUGGUGGCUAUAUGGCAGAGUUUCUGCCUACUAUAUGGGAGUUCUGAGUUCAAGUCCCAGAGUCCUAGUUUUGGUGACUUGGGGUAAGUGAGCUAACAAAGAAAAUUCCUCUUGCAGUGGAAAGGGGCCAUUGUGUUUUCCCCCUCUUUCCCCCUCCAGAUGCCUAGGCCCUAUAUUCCUUGUAAUUUGACAUUUUGUAUUUUGUGCCUUUUAUAUUUCCAGUAAUAACAACCAGUAUUGUUUGUUCUGCUUUUUGUGUUUUACAUGUUGGUUAAACCUGUCUUUUGUCAACUGAAUGAAUAUGUCUAUGAUUGUAAGUGUCUAACCUUUGUUGAAUCCUGCCCCUUUGGGGCAUUGUAUUGUCCCCUAUACCCCCCUGGUUUAUACUGGUUAUGUUCCCAGUAUUGUUCCCUCAUUAAAAGGAAUAUGGUUAAGUCCC
Molecule: long non-coding RNA, 6070 nt
Organism: Alligator mississippiensis (American alligator)
Lineage: Eukaryota; Metazoa; Chordata; Crocodylia; Alligatoridae
Exons: 4
Source: RefSeq, a predicted model, not a curated record